AAGGUACUUCCUCCGUCCAGAAAAAUUUGUCCCUCAAAUGAAUGUAUCUAGCACCAAGUUAGUGCUAGAUACAUCAAUUUGAUGGAUAAGCUUAUGACAAGCUUUUUCGAACGGAGGGAGUAUCAC
Triticum aestivum (bread wheat) is the source of this 126-nucleotide non-coding RNA. Lineage: Eukaryota; Viridiplantae; Streptophyta; Magnoliopsida; Poales; Poaceae. The record is from Rfam.